Molecule: ribosomal RNA, 512 nt
Filed under: Phialocephala fortinii
Lineage: Eukaryota; Fungi; Ascomycota; Leotiomycetes; Helotiales; Mollisiaceae
Description: eukaryotic LSU rRNA
Rfam family: 5.8S ribosomal RNA (bases 182-335)
Source: RNAcentral
UUCAUUACAAGUGAGGCUACCGAACGUUGGAAACAGCGGUUAGGAGCUUACACCCACCCGUGUUUACAUACUAUUGUUGCUUUGGCGGGCCGUGGCCUCCACUGCGGGCUCUGCUCGUGUGUGCCCGCCAGAGGACCAAACUCUGAAUGUUAGUGAUGUCUGAGUACUAUCUAAUAGUUAAAACUUUCAACAACGGAUCUCUUGGUUCUGGCAUCGAUGAAGAACGCAGCGAAAUGCGAUAAGUAAUGUGAAUUGCAGAAUUCAGUGAAUCAUCGAAUCUUUGAACGCACAUUGCGCCCUGUGGUAUUCCGCAGGGCAUGCCUGUUCGAGCGUCAUUUAACCACUCACGCCUAGCGUGGUAUUGGGGCACGCGGUCUCGCGGCCCUCAAAAUUAGUGGCGGCGCCGGUGGGCUUUAAGCGUAGUACAUACUCCCGCUAUAAAGUUCCCCCGGUGGCUCGCCAGAACCCCCAAUUUUUUACAGGUUGACCUCGGAUCAGGUAGGUGAUACCCG